GACAGAGGUGCCGAGCGUUAGGCGGAAUCACUGGGCUUAAAGCGUGUGUAGGCGGCCCGUUAAGUGCCUCGUGAAAUCCCCCGGCUCAACCGGGGAACUGCCGGGCAUACUGGCGGGCUUGGGUCGCUCAGGGGCAGACGGAACAGGCGGUGGAGCGGUGAAAUGCGUAGAUAUCAGGAGGAAUACCGAUGGCGAAGGCAGCCCCCUGGGUUGAUACUGACGCUCAUGCACGAAAGCGUGGGGAGCAAACAGG
RNAcentral lists this ribosomal RNA (253 nucleotides) under uncultured bacterium. RNAcentral describes it as "partial 16S ribosomal RNA". It matches the Rfam family "Bacterial small subunit ribosomal RNA", at positions 524 to 776 of the family's 1533-position model. The record is from RNAcentral.